Molecule: ribosomal RNA, 497 nt
Filed under: uncultured bacterium
Lineage: Bacteria
Description: partial 16S ribosomal RNA
Rfam family: Bacterial small subunit ribosomal RNA
Source: RNAcentral
GAUGAACGCUGGCGGCGUGCCUAAUACAUGCAAGUCGAGCGAACGGGCGAGAAGCUUGCUUCUCUGAUGUUAGCGGCGGACGGGUGAGUAACACGUGGAUAACCUACCUAUAAGACUGGGAUAACUUCGGGAAACCGGAGCUAAUACCGGAUAAUAUUUUGAACCGCAUGGUUCAAAAGUGAAAGACGGUCUUGCUGUCACUUAUAGAUGGAUCCGCGCUGCAUUAGCUAGUUGGUAAGGUAACGGCUUACCAAGGCAACGAUGCAUAGCCGACCUGAGAGGGUGAUCGGCCACACUGGAACUGAGACACGGUCCAGACCCCUACGGGAGGCAGCAGUAGGGAAUCUUCCGCAAUGGGCGAAAGCCUGACGGAGCAACGCCGCGUGAGUGAUGAAGGUCUUCGGAUCGUAAAACUCUGUUAUUAGGGAAGAACAUAUGUGUAAGUAACUGUGCACAUCUUGACGGUACCUAAUCAGAAAGCCACGGCUAACUACGUG